RNAcentral lists this ribosomal RNA (266 nucleotides) under uncultured Enterobacteriaceae bacterium. Its description in RNAcentral is "partial 16S ribosomal RNA". It matches the Rfam family "Bacterial small subunit ribosomal RNA", at positions 77 to 339 of the family's 1533-position model. The record is from RNAcentral. Lineage: Bacteria; Pseudomonadati; Pseudomonadota; Gammaproteobacteria; Enterobacterales; Enterobacteriaceae.
AGCUUGCUGCUUUGGCUGACGAGUGGCGGACGGGUGAGUAAUGUCUGGGAAAACUGCCUGAUGGAGGGGGAUAACUACUGGAAGCGGUGGCUAAUACCGCAUAACGUCGCAAGAACCAAAGAGGGGGACCUUCGGGCCUCUCACUAUCGGAUGAACCCAGAUGGGAUUAGCUAGUAGGCGGGGUAAUUGCCCACCUAGGCGACGAUCCCUAGCUGGUCUGAGAGGAUGACCCAGCCACACUGGAGCUGAGACACGGUCCAGACUCC